GGCCAGGUAGCUCAGUCGGUAGAGCAGAGGACUGAAAAUCCUUGUGUCGGCGGUUCAAUUCCGUCCCUGGCCA
Molecule: transfer RNA, 73 nt
Filed under: Deltaproteobacteria bacterium GWA2_45_12
Lineage: Bacteria; Deltaproteobacteria
Also listed under: 3 other names
Description: tRNA-Phe
Rfam family: tRNA
About the family: Transfer RNA (tRNA) molecules are approximately 80 nucleotides in length. Their secondary structure includes four short double-helical elements and three loops (D, anti-codon, and T loops).
Source: RNAcentral